AAGUCGUAACAAGGUUUCCGUAGGUGAACCUGCGGAAGGAUCAUUAAAACAGUAAUGUUUAAAGAGGUGCAGGGCUCGCUGAUGCGCGACGGGGAGGGAACUUGGUGUUGCUUCUACGCUUGGGAGAUCUUGGUGCAGACUAGGCCCGCACGGGCUGAAAUCGCCGGGUUCUCUGCGCGUAAGGGCACGCCGAGGAACCCCCUGUCCAUAAAGGUUGAAGCCUGCCUUGCAUCGUAAACAAAACAAAAAAUUUCACCUCAAACCUCUUUGACUGAAAACAUCUUUGUCGACCGCUUUGCGGCACGGCAGAAAUUUGAACCAAAAAACAACUUUUAACAAUGGAUCUCUUGGCUCUC
Molecule: unclassified non-coding RNA, 356 nt
Filed under: fungal sp.
Lineage: Eukaryota; Fungi
Description: partial internal transcribed spacer region
Rfam family: Eukaryotic small subunit ribosomal RNA (bases 1-46)
Source: RNAcentral